GGGUGAAACGCAUCAUACACGACGGACUUAAAAUCCGUUCCCCGCAAGGGGAUGCGGGUUCGAUUCCCGCCUCGCCCACCA
RNAcentral lists this transfer RNA (81 nucleotides) under Candidatus Hydrogenedentes bacterium ADurb.Bin101. Its description in RNAcentral is "tRNA-Leu". It matches the Rfam family "tRNA". Rfam says of the family: Transfer RNA (tRNA) molecules are approximately 80 nucleotides in length. Their secondary structure includes four short double-helical elements and three loops (D, anti-codon, and T loops). The record is from RNAcentral. Lineage: Bacteria; Pseudomonadati; Candidatus Hydrogenedentota.